RNAcentral lists this long non-coding RNA (1395 nucleotides) under Equus caballus (horse). Its description in RNAcentral is "lncRNA (ENSECAG00000031380.3)". Lineage: Eukaryota; Metazoa; Chordata; Mammalia; Perissodactyla; Equidae. The record is from RNAcentral.
CUGACCUCCAAUCCCUGGGAGAGGGGCUGGAGAUUGAGUUCAAUCACUAAUGGCUGAAGACUGAAUCAAUCACGUCUGUGUAAUGAAGCCACCACUAAACUGCAAAGGGAUAGGGUUUGGAGAACUUUCAGGUUGGUGAACACAUGGAAGCGCUGGGAUGCUGGCGCACCCAGAGAGGGCAUGGAAGCUCCUCUAACUUGCUCUAUGCAUCUUUUCCAUCUGGCUCUUCCUGAAUUGUAUCCUUACACAAUAAACUAACUGGUAAUCUAGACCCGGCUAUUAGAAAAGAGGUUCAAUGUGAAUAUACUGACAAUAACAACAAAAAAAGAGAUUAGAGAAUUAAGAAAGAAAAUUCUAGAGGGCUUAAAGAUCACAUCUGGAAGGAUCUGAAAGGCCUCUUGAAGGAAAUAGAAAAAAAAAUUCUGGCUAAUUCCUCUAAUACUUCUGGACCCUCAUUGGCUAGGAAAUCAUGCUGUGUUCCCAUAUCUAUUUUCUGGUUCCGUGGAAGCUUCUUGAGUACAUGUCUAAUUUGGUUGGGUUCCCCCACUCUCGUACAGCUUCUCAUACAGGAUAGCAAAACUGCGCUCCUAGAUGCGAUUAUAUGUAAAAAUGGACAAAUCUACAUCACAUUUUUAGUAGAUAGUCCAGAACUGGAGUUCAAGAGAGACAGAACACAGAAUGCCAGGUUGAGGGAGAACCGUGUGGACUCCAAGACCAGCACAUUUCAAGACUAAUAGUAGUAAACAGUGCUUACUGAGAGUAUCAUGUCUCAAGUAGUGCGUGGCUUCAAACAGUUAGAAAUUAAAUUAAAUUAAAACAUUUUUUUUUCAACUUUGACAUAUUCAUGGAAUUAAGAUCAGAGGAAUAAGGAAUAAAGUGCUAAAUUUAAAAGCAAACCACUUUAGUUGCACCCAUUUAUAAUGUUGAUUUUCAGGAUGUCAUAAAUAUUACAUUACAAGAUAACAAAUUGUGUGAGCUUUUACGUAAUGCUUUUUUAUGCCCUUGGUGUACUCAUUUCUGGUGCAUAGUUAUUUUCAAUCAAGAUCAAUUUUUGAGUUUCAGAGCAACAGUAAAAUAAUUCCAUUUAGUACUUCCAGUUAAUGUAUAAUUCCACAUAGUACAUCCAAAACUUAACUUAUUGUCUUUACCCCAAAACCAACUCCAUAAAAAACAACUCAGAACUACUUGUUUAAUUGAGUGGAUUGAUUUGAGAUGAUCUAUGGAAUAACAAACUGGAUUAAACCUAUAAAUAUAUCAUCAGAGGCAAUUUUGACAUAACUACAAACUAUGCAUUAUAUCUUUAUGUUUCAUACAUCUGGCAGUAACCUAAGCAAACUAGCCAAGGUAAAGCUGGAAGAUUGUAAAUAAACAAGUAUAUAUAUAUAUAAGAACAUG